Molecule: ribosomal RNA, 460 nt
Filed under: uncultured ciliate
Lineage: Eukaryota; Ciliophora
Description: SSU rRNA
Rfam family: Eukaryotic small subunit ribosomal RNA
Source: RNAcentral
AAAUAGCAMACUGGAUGAAUUUUCAUCACAGUAUUGCAAUGAGAACAAUGUAAAUGCUUUAUCGAUUAACAAUUGGAGSGCAAGUCUAGGUGCCAGCAGCCGCGSWAAUUCCAGCUCCAAUAGCGUAUAUUAAAGUUGUUGCAGUUAAAAAGCUCGUAGUUGAACUUCUGUACAUUCCCAGUUCUGGCUUCGGUCAAGCUGUGGAGUGUGCAUCCGCUUGCAAACUUAGACCGGCCUUUACUGGUCGACUAAGGGAGUAAGCCCUUUACUUUGAAAAAAUUAGAGUGUUUCAGGCAGGCUUUGGCUCGAAUACAUUAGCAUGGAAUAAUGGAAUAGGACUUUUGUCCAUUUGGUUGGUUAUUGGACUUAAGYAAUGAUUAAAAGGGACAGUUGGGGGCAUUAGUAUUUAAUUGUCAGAGGUGAAAUUCUUGGAUUUAUUAAAGACUAACUUAUGCGAAAG